This 59-nucleotide transfer RNA is filed under the name Lariscus insignis (three-striped ground squirrel). Its description in RNAcentral is "tRNA-Ser". The record is from RNAcentral. Lineage: Eukaryota; Metazoa; Chordata; Mammalia; Rodentia; Sciuridae.
AGAAAGUAAUGCAAGAACUGCUAACUCANUGCUUCCGCGCCUACACUCGUGGCUUUCUC